Molecule: ribosomal RNA, 97 nt
Filed under: uncultured bacterium
Lineage: Bacteria
Description: partial 16S ribosomal RNA
Rfam family: Bacterial small subunit ribosomal RNA
Source: RNAcentral
CACACCGCCCGUCACACCAUGGGAGUUGGCUUUACCUGAAGACGGUGCGCUAACCGCAAGGAGGCAGCUGGCCACGGUAGGGUCAGCGACUGGGGUG